UCCACCUGCCUCUGCCUCCCAGAGUGCUGGGAUUACAGGCAUGAGCCACCAUGCCUGGCUUUUUUCUUGGGUCUUAAGUUCAUGUUCUCUCUUAUCUGGGAAAAAUUCUUUAGGGAGAAU
RNAcentral lists this microRNA precursor (120 nucleotides) under Otolemur garnettii (small-eared galago). Its description in RNAcentral is "miRNA (ENSOGAG00000025084.1)". The record is from RNAcentral. Lineage: Eukaryota; Metazoa; Chordata; Mammalia; Primates; Galagidae.